AAUCAGGUAGGACUACCCGCUGAACUUAAGCAUAUCAAUAAGCGGAGGAAAAGAAACUAACAAGGAUUCCCCUAGUAACGGCGAGUGAAGCGGGAUGAGCUCAAAUUUAAAAUCUGGCGGCCUCAGGUCGUCCGAGUUGUAGUCUAGAGAAUCGUUUUCCGCGUUGGCCUGUGUACAAGUCCCUUGGAACAGGGCGUCAUAGAGGGUGAGAAUCCCGUCCUUGACACAGACUACCAAUGCUUUGUGAUGCGAUCUCGAAGAGUCGAGUUGUUUGGGAAUGCAGCUCAAAAUGGGUGGUAAAUUCCAUCUAAAGCUAAAUAUUGGCGAGAGACCGAUAGCGAACAAGUACCGUGAGGGAAAGAUGAAAAGCACUUUGGAAAGAGAGUUAAACAGUACGUGAAAUUGUUAAAAGGGAAACGAUUGAAGUCAGUCAUGCUUUCCGAGACUCAGCCGAUUCUGUCGGUGUACUUCUCGGUUGGCAGGCCAGCAUCAGUUUCGAUCUGUGGAAAAGGUUGGAGGGAACGUGGCAUCCUCGGAUGUGUUAUAGCCCUUCUUCGAAUACAUAGAGCGGGACUGAGGACGCAGCGCGCCUUUUAUUAGGUUGGCCCUCGGGUACAUACGCGCUUAGGA
RNAcentral lists this ribosomal RNA (630 nucleotides) under Mrakia sp. YSAR14. Its description in RNAcentral is "eukaryotic LSU rRNA". It matches the Rfam family "Eukaryotic large subunit ribosomal RNA", at positions 9 to 620 of the family's 3401-position model. Lineage: Eukaryota; Fungi; Basidiomycota; Tremellomycetes; Cystofilobasidiales; Mrakiaceae. The record is from RNAcentral.